Molecule: transfer RNA, 73 nt
Filed under: Bacteroidota bacterium
Lineage: Bacteria; Pseudomonadati; Bacteroidota
Also listed under: 1 other name
Description: Bacteroidetes bacterium tRNA-Gly
Rfam family: tRNA
About the family: Transfer RNA (tRNA) molecules are approximately 80 nucleotides in length. Their secondary structure includes four short double-helical elements and three loops (D, anti-codon, and T loops).
Source: RNAcentral
GCGGGAAUAGCUCAAUCGGUAGAGCGUCAGCUUCCCAAGCUGAAGGUCGCGGGUUCGAUUCCCGUUUCCCGCU